AAAGGGAGACCUAAUUCAGGUAGGAGACGAAAAAAAAGUAGUCCCUACCAGGAAUCAAUCCCAAAAGGUCGGAGCGAGGCGAAAUUGGCUUUCAAACUAGGUUCUGGGUUCAAACAAGACCUGAAUCAGGAACAAGGGCUAUUAGCUCAGGUGGUUAGAGCGCACCCCUGAUAAGGGUGAGGUCCCUGGUUCGAGUCCAGGAUGGCCCGCCUGCACAGGUGGCAAAAACAAGAGAAGCGAGGAAUCAGCACCUUAUCUUACUGACAUAGUAAGAGAGAAUGCUGGCUCUGAGUAAAGAGUCCAGAGGAACCUUGAAAACUGCAUAGAGCUAGGUGAAAAAGCCAAAAAAGAAGACCGCAAG
RNAcentral lists this transfer RNA (361 nucleotides) under uncultured Microcystis sp. Its description in RNAcentral is "partial 16S-23S ribosomal RNA intergenic spacer". The stretch from base 136 to 209 matches the Rfam family "tRNA". The record is from RNAcentral. Lineage: Bacteria; Bacillati; Cyanobacteriota; Cyanophyceae; Chroococcales; Microcystaceae.